AGAGUUUGAUCCUGGCUCAGGACGAACGCUGGCGGCGUGCUUAACACAUGCAAGUCGAACGAGGCCCUGCCUUCGGGCAGGUGACCUAGUGGCGAACGGGUGAGUAACACGUGGGCAACCUGCCCUCCGCUCUGGGAUAACCCCGGGAAACCGGAGCUAAUACCGGAUAUGACCACGGUGGACAUCCACCAUGGUGGAAAGUUUUUCGGCGGAGGAUGGGCCCGCGGCCUAUCAGCUUGUUGGUGGGGUCACGGCCCACCAAGGCGACGACGGGUAGCCGGCCUGAGAGGGCGACCGGCCACACUGGGACUGAGACACGGCCCAGACUCCUACGGGAGGCAGCAGUGGGGAAUAUUGCGCAAUGGGCGAAAGCCUGACGCAGCGACGCCGCGUGAGGGAUGAAGGCCUUCGGGUUGUAAACCUCUUUCAGCUCCGACGAAGCGAAAGUGACGGUAGGGGCAGAAGAAGCACCGGCCAACUACGUGCCAGCAGCCGCGGUAAUACGUAGGGUGCAAGCGUUGUCCGGAAUUAUUGGGCGUAAAGAGCUCGUAGGCGGUCUGUCGCGUCGGCUGUGAAAACCCGGGGCUCAACCCCGGGCCUGCAGUCGAUACGGGCAGACUAGAGUGCGGUAGGGGAGACUGGAAUUCCUGGUGUAGCGGUGAAAUGCGCAGAUAUCAGGAGGAACACCGGUGGCGAAGGCGGGUCUCUGGGCCGUAACUGACGCUGAGGAGCGAAAGCGUGGGGAGCGAACAGGAUUAGAUACCCUGGUAGUCC
RNAcentral lists this ribosomal RNA (774 nucleotides) under uncultured bacterium. Its description in RNAcentral is "bacterial SSU rRNA". It matches the Rfam family "Bacterial small subunit ribosomal RNA", at positions 8 to 796 of the family's 1533-position model. The record is from RNAcentral.